GUAUACAGGAAUGAGGUUGCCCCUGGGAAAAUGAAAUUGUAAAUUACAGAAUGAAAUUUAAUUUUGUGCACUAAUUAAAGAAACUCAUAAUUGACAAUUAUGAUGCAAAAGAGUAUAAUUGCACGGAAUAAACACAAAAGGAUCGAAGGUACAGUAAUAUGUGUUAUGUUCCUGUCAACAAAAACAAAAAGAGAAGUGCAUAAUCUGCAGCAACAUCUGCAGAUUAUGCAAUGGAAAUUACAUCAAAAUGCAUAAACACAUUCUAGGGAUUAAACCACACUUAGAAAUGCCAUAAUACUCCUUCCAGUUCCAAUUUAAUUGUUAGAAUUUCAUAGCUCAUAGGAAAUUGAUGAUGAAAGGUUCUUCUCCUUUCUUCUCAUGCUAUUAAAAUAAGAAGAAUUUCAACUAUUCUUUUUGGUUUCCAAUCUUACCUGAGGAAAAUAGUCUCUUCCAUUGAAGGAAAAGGCCUGUUUGCACAUAAUUUGCAUAGAAAAUUUCAGAGGGAAGAUAAAAGUAAUAGAUACUGACUUAGAUCCAGUUGCAGGCAAACAGAAUAUCAAAGGUAUGGAACUUUCACAUAAAGAAAAUUAUUUUGGGAUGUGGGGUGGGCCAAAGAAACAAACAAAACAAUACAAAGAGAGAAAAAAAAUGGAAAUUUGAUCUGAAAAUCUCAAAUAGCGAAAAAUUUAUGAUAAGGGAAUAGCUUCCUAAGCAAAAACAGAUACAACAAAAUCAAAGAAGAUAUAGAACAAGUAAUUUAUUUUGCAUAUAAUUGAUAGUUUUAUUAAUUAUUUAUUUGUGUUAUAUUUUU
Molecule: unclassified non-coding RNA, 811 nt
Filed under: Hevea brasiliensis (rubber tree)
Lineage: Eukaryota; Viridiplantae; Streptophyta; Magnoliopsida; Malpighiales; Euphorbiaceae
Source: RNAcentral